GCGAGUAUCUAUCAUUGAUAUCCUUCCUCUCUUCCUUCAAACAAACAACCCCACAAUAUCCAUGUUUUAGUCGAUCCUAUUUUAUGAAGCGUGAUUUUAAAAAUCUCUUGUCACAGCUUUCGAGUUCUAUUCAUCUAUCAAUAUUCAAUAUCCUACUCAUCUAUUAGUAUUCAAUAUCGAUCAUAUUUCUUUUAAAUUUCCUUGACAUCUCUUGUCAAAAAGCUACAAUAUCUCAUCCGAUCUCCUAAUAACACAUGUUACAUUCCAUGUUCUACUCAAAAGUGUGAUACACAUAAAAUUUUUAUUAGAUUUGGCUUCAAACUCCUUACUAAAUUUGGCUUCAAAAUAGUGAAAAUACUAGUUGAAUUUGAAUUCAAACUCUCAUCCUAAAAGGAUUUCUAGUGAAAAUCCAUGAAGAUAUACAGUGGAAAAAAUGGGAGAGAUGUAGAGUGAGUGAGCCGGUGGCAGACCACCGUUGAGAGAAUGAGAUACGAAAUGUGUAAUCUGUAAAUCUUUCUCAGAAUAUAGUGAAUUUGUUGC
RNAcentral lists this long non-coding RNA (540 nucleotides) under Actinidia chinensis (golden kiwifruit). RNAcentral describes it as "long non-coding RNA (ACHI_LNC003451)". Lineage: Eukaryota; Viridiplantae; Streptophyta; Magnoliopsida; Ericales; Actinidiaceae. The record is from RNAcentral.